This is a non-coding RNA of Parasteatoda tepidariorum (common house spider), 746 nucleotides long. The record is from RefSeq and is a predicted model, not a curated record. NCBI's taxonomy places the organism in Eukaryota, Metazoa, Arthropoda, Arachnida, Araneae, Theridiidae.
UAUGAGUUGGUAGGCUAGUGUAAUUAGUCUAAUUUUAGAUACAAGGAAGGAUAUCAUGUGUUUUUCUAAGUCUGGUGUUAGUUUUACAGAACUUUACAGAUCCAAGAAACUACCUGAAAAUAGAUGUUUGAUACUUUACUUCACAAAGUUGAUGCUAGAUUUAAAAAUCUAUUCCUUACAGAAGAAUGUUGGUCAUCAUUAUCCGAUUUAGAUUGGGCUUUGCAUUGAGUACUUCAUCGUCAUAUAGUCUCCUUGGGAACCAUAUUUUCAAAGAUGUCCGUUGCUGACCUAGCUGCCAUGAGUAUCAGUCUGUCAAGAUGUCCAUUGCUGACUUAUCUGCCAUGAGGAUCGUAGUUUCCCAAGAUGUCCAUUGCUGACUUAUCUGCCAUGAGGGUCGUAGUUUCCCAAGAUGUCCAUUGCUGACUUAUCUGCCAUGAGGAUCGUAGUUUCCCAAGAUGUUCAUUGCUGACUUAUCUGCCAUGAGGAUCGUAGUUUCCCAAGAUGUCCAUUGCUGACUUAUCUGUCAUGAGGAUCGUAGUUUCCCAAAAUGUCCAUUGCUGACUUAUCUGUCAUGAGGAUCGUAGUUUCCCAAGAUGUCCAUUGCUGACCUAGCUGCCAUGAGGAUCGUAGUUUGCCAUAUGAUCUACUUCAGUUGCCUAGUCGUCAUGACAUAACAGAAACGCUGAUCGUAUUUCUUCAAAUGAACACGAGGUUUAUUUUUAAAUUAUCCUUGAAUUACUUGACAA